UUCGCUCAGGACGAACGCUGUGUUGGCGUGCCUUAUACAUGCAAGUCGAGCGGAUCUCUGAUGGAGCUUGCUCCUGAUGAGGUUAGCGGCGGACGGGUGAGUAACACGUAGGCAACCUGCCCCCAAGAUCGGGAUAACAUUCGGAAACGAAUGCUAAGACCGGAUACACGAUUUGGUCGCAUGAUCGGAUCGGGAAACACGGAGCAAUCUGUGGCUUGAGGAUGGGCCUGCGGCGCAUUAGCUAGUUGGUGGGGUAACGGCUCACCAAGGCGACGAUGCGUAGCCGACCUGAGAGGGUGAACGGCCACACUGGGACUGAGACACGGCCCAGACUCCUACGGGAGGCAGCAGUAGGGAAUCUUCCACAAUGGGCGAAAGCCUGAUGGAGCAACGCCGCGUGAGUGAGGAAGGCUUUCGGGUCGUAAAGCUCUGUUGCCAGGGAAGAAUAAGGAUCAUUUAACUGAUGAUCCGAUGACGGUACCUGAGAAGAAAGCCCCGGCUAACUACGUGCCAGCAGCCGCGGUAAUACGUAGGGGGCAAGCGUUGUCCGGAAUUAUUGGGCGUAAAGCGCGCGCAGGCGGCUCUUUAAGUCUGGUGUUUAAGUGCGGGGCUCAACCCCGUGACGCACUGGAAACUGGGGAGCUUGAGUGCAGAAGAGGAGAGCGGAAUUCCACGUGUAGCGGUGAAAUGCGUAGAGAUGUGGAGGAACACCAGUGGCGAAGGCGGCUCUCUGGACUGUAACUGACGCUGAGGCGCGAAAGCGUGGGGAGCAAACAGGAUUAGAUACCCUGGUAGUCCACGCCGUAAACGAUGAGUGCUAGGUGUUGGGGGUAUCAUGCCCUCGGUGCCGAAGUUAACACAUUAAGCACUCCGCCUGGAGACUAGUCCA
Molecule: ribosomal RNA, 889 nt
Filed under: Cohnella sp. M_Sw_HS_09/11_2_2(1)
Lineage: Bacteria; Bacillati; Bacillota; Bacilli; Caryophanales; Paenibacillaceae
Description: bacterial SSU rRNA
Rfam family: Bacterial small subunit ribosomal RNA
Source: RNAcentral